UGAUAGUGAAUCUAAAAAUACUGAUAGCUCGCACAGUUUUCCUCCAGAAUGCCCAAGUUGCAUCUAAAAUUUUUUUCUAAUGUUCUACUUGUUUAUUGAUCAAAUCCUUACCUAAAUCGCAGUGGAACUAGGGAUCAAAUUCCAAAUUAUCUGAUAUAAAUCUUUGCGGAGGCCUAGAUAUGCAGACCCUCUACUUCGCAUGCAUGUCAGAUACCAC
RNAcentral lists this long non-coding RNA (217 nucleotides) under Elaeis guineensis (African oil palm). RNAcentral's name for it is "long non-coding RNA (EGUI_LNC047597)". The record is from RNAcentral. Lineage: Eukaryota; Viridiplantae; Streptophyta; Magnoliopsida; Arecales; Arecaceae.